GCCAGUGUGGUGUAGUGGUUUGAGCAUUGGACUCUAAUUCUGGAGAUCAGGGUUCAAAUCCUGGCUCAGCCA
Non-coding RNA from Phrynosoma platyrhinos (Desert horned lizard), 72 nucleotides. NCBI's taxonomy places the organism in Eukaryota, Metazoa, Chordata, Lepidosauria, Squamata, Phrynosomatidae. The record is from the annotation of a GenBank genome assembly.